GACAAUUAGUGAUUUUUCUGUGGUUGUUGGGUUUCCCGCAGAAAAAAUUUCCAUUUUCUUAUCUAAGGUUUUUGAGGAAUCCCUUUUAUUGAUAUUCAGUUAUUGAAACUUUUCGACAAUUUAAUGUAUAGAAUAGGUCAAAAAAACAUAUGAAUGAACAUCUGUAAUACAACGACUCCCAAUGGAAGUGAAUAAAUAUAAACAGGUUUAUUUAGCCGCUAGUAAGAACGAUGUUAACCAACUCAAUUGUCUCCUGCGACAAGAAAUUGAAGAUGGUAAUUUGGAUGAUUUACUUUCGAAGGUGUGUAUGGAGCUGGAACUCAAUCGUGUACACCUUUCCGAUGAUAUUAAGCAAAUUUUGGAGCGAAAAUUGAUGAGCCUACGUUUUUUCCACAAGCAGUCUAAGUUUUACUUGACUUCACAAGAGGUUCGUGAUCACAUACAAUUUACGAUACAACUUAUAAAUUCUUUGGAAACAUGUAAAGAUAAGGAUGAAUUGUUCAUAGGAAAUUUGACAUUUAUAGCUAAGCAAAUUUUUACGCUUAAGAGAUUACUUAAGUCGACUUAUGAUAGGCUUCCUUGGGAAGAAAUUGAAUUCUGUAUAUUGUCAUAUAUUAGAACUUUUAAGGAUCAGAAUGAAAUUGCAUUGUUUUCAAGAGCUAUUCUUAGUAAAUGCAAUAUAAUUACAUAUUUGGAAAGCUUUGGUAAACAUCUUGAAAAUUUACUGAAUCAUGUGUUGAUUAUGAGACCACAGGAACUCUCCAGACUCCCAAAUUUGAAACGGGAUGAAGUUGUCGAGGAUAUAAUCGAUAAAUAUCCCGAAUUCAAGUCUCUUUAUGAUGAUCAUGAAAGAAUAAGAGACAUUCAUUCGCUCAACGUUAUGCUGAAUUACAUGGAACUUGUCAGGUCUAUUGGAUUGGGAGAAAAGAAUGGUAUAUUUAUUUUGAUGAGAGCUUUACAGGUUAUAGGCGAACAUUUGAAGAAUACCCUGGAGUCUCCUAAGUUGUCCCAGACUACUAUAAAUUAUCUUUUCACCUUCUUCAGCCAGAGUACCAGAAACUUGGUGAUCAAUUUAAGAAACACCUUGGCCCAUCAGUGUCUUUCAAAGCAUGAAGAAUUAUUUGAGAAUAUUGAAUGCAACUUUUUGAGUGGGAUCAAAAACGAUAUUGAAAAACUUGGGGGACAGAUUGGUAACAUUUUGUCAAAGUACAAAAUGAAAGUUCUCAUAGAACUUGGUGAUAAAUUUUUGAACACAAAUGAUGAGAAAAUCAUGAAAGAAGUGGCUUCUGUGGUGAAAAAUUUAGGAACUGGUAAGGUGCUCAGAGAAGACCUAUCUGAGCUGAAGAACAACGAUAUCACUAGGUUAAAAGAUCUCAUAGACCAGUAUCGGUGCAAAAUUAAAGGUAAAUGCGUCUAUAGCGAAAUACUUUUCGAAGCUAUCGAUCAAUCAUUCAUUAAUGUUCAUAUAGAGGCAUCUAUAGAUUAUGGUACAGUUUUGCUGCCCUUCUGUGCUUUAUAUAAAAGGUUUGAUAUGAUGAUUGAAAGUUCAGACAAUAAAACAAACUGCAUAAGAUCGAUAAAAUAUAGUCUGAAGCAGAUUCUGAAAACUUUAUCACCGCAAAUAGAAGCCUCCAAAUUGAGUACAAUAGCCGAAAUGGUAGUAUCGAUCCACAGCUUGUCUUCUGGAUCUCAAGAUGAUGAAGUGGCGAAACUUUUUUUUGAAAUAUUGCACAUUAUAAAAUUCGAAGUUAACAGUGUCCAAUGGACUGAAAAGUUCGGGAGAAAAAUAAAGAAAAGGGAAAUGGAAGUGGAGAGAUUCAAUUCCGAGAAUUCUGAGGAGGUGACAAAGAUGAAGAAACAGGAGAAAUUGAAUCAGUUGAGGGAAAUCUUUGACGGAGUCACUUACACCCAGUUCAAGAGUAAUAAGAAGCUUCAAGCUGUUGUGGAAAUAUUUCUUUUAGAUUUGAUUCCGAUGUUGAAAUAUGAUCAUUUCAAAGCGAAGUAUUUUUUUAACGAUAAUUAUCCAUCCCUUACUGGUGUUGAUCUGAGAAAUCACUUGGCACAUAAUAAUGUCAUCGUGGAAGUUCUUCUGGAUUCAACCUCAGCUAUAUUCCUCUUCGUUAAAAAACUAUUAGAAGUUGAAGGAAAAUCUGACGAUUUUGACUUGACUGAAGUUCAGUAUUUCAACUUAUCUAGAAUGAAGAACUCUUACGCGACAACUGUUGAUAUUUUAAAUAGGAAACACAACAUGUUCGUCGCUUUGAAGGAGAAUAAUUUCGACGCAUUCUCAGAAUGCAUCAAGGAAGGCGCAGAUAUCAGAUCUAGGGACACGGAUUUGUCCACAUGUCUACACUUUGCAAUGAGAAGACCUAAAACGAUCAAACUGACGAAGUUCCUUUUGAAGGAGGGCCUGUCCACUUUUAAAAUGAAGAAUUUGGAAAACCAGAGCCCUCUUCACAUAGCGGUUACGAAAACGAACCUGGAAGUUGUAGAGUUUCUGCUCAAAAAUUUUGACACUGACAUCAAUGAGAUGGAUUCUUUCAAGAGAACACCAGCUCAUCUGGCAGCCUUCUCCGGUAAUGAGCACAUUUUGAACAGUCUGUGGAACCACGGUGCCGAUUUCACUAAGAAGGAUUACUUCCCUUUAACACCCUUGCAGUACGCGGCGCUUAGCGGUAAACCUUCCGCCGUCCAGUUCUUCUUCAAUAAAGACCUCUUCUACAAAUUAGACGACGCUAUCAGUGGUUUCACAACUCUACACGUCGCUGCAGAAGAAGGUUUGGUCAAAAUUGUGAACUAUCUGCUGUCGAAAAACGUGAAGGUUGACGCUAGAACGGACGUAGGUGCCACACCCCUCCAUCUAGCCGCCUUAUACGGCCAUCUUGAUACGGUUAAGGCUCUGAUACGAGCAGGCGCAGACGUGAAUUCCUCAAACAUGAACGGCAACUGCGCACUGCACUGGGCUUGCGAGACGGGCAGGGAAGAAAUUGUCAAGGUGCUCAUAAAGAACGGAGCUGAUGUUAAUGUAACGGAUCACGAGAAUAAUUUCGCCCCCAUCAACUAUUUGGCCAAGGACGGAUUCACCGACAUCCUCAAAAUAUUCCUGGAGAACGGGGCGGACGUCAACGUUAAAACUAAGGACGGUUUAACGCCCCUUUUGUACGCUGUCAAGGGUAGGCAUUUGGAAAUCGUGGAUUUGUUGAUGAAACAGGAUGGCAUAGAAGUGAAUAGAUCGAAUAUACACAGAAUGACACCGUUGCACGAUGCUUCUAUGAAUGGAGACGUGGAAAUUGUGAGACUUUUGAUUAUGAAGGGCGCUGAUUUAGAUUGUAGAAAUCUAGAAGGUAUGACGCCACUUCACUUCGCUUGUAAGCAUGGCCACGAAGCUGUCGUGGAUCUGUUGAUCGAGCACGGUGUCCCGAUUCAUGCCGAGACUUCUAGUACGCGAUGGCUUCCUUUACACAUGGCCGCGGAGUCUGGAAAUGAAAACAUAAUGGUUAAAUUGAUCAGGAAAGGUUCUCCGAUAAACGCCACCACGUCCAAAGGCGCCAACUGUCUCCACAUAGCUGUCAAAAACGGGAGGAACAUCCUGGACCUACUGAUAAGGUUUGGGGUCGACAUACACGCUAAAACUAAGGACCGUGGGUUCACCCCUCUGCAUGAAGCAGUCAUCGCUAAUAGCCUCCAAAUGGUGAAGUGUCUGUUAAACGCAGGAGCCCACAUCGACGAUCAAGAUUACGCAGGUAACACGCCAAUUCAUUUGGCCAUCGAAAGGGACAGCAACGAGAUCUCGGUGUUCCUAUUCAAAAACGGAGCGAGAAUCGAUUUAUCGAAUAAAAAGCAUAAAACUCCUUUCCUAUCGGCGGUGAAAUAUAACAGGGAGACCUUGAUACAGAUGGGCCUUUCGUCACGUUUGAUCCAGGACGAGCUGAUUUUCAAAGCAAUAUGCGACGCUAUUUACGAAGGAAACACGAAAGUUGUGAGGUUGUUACUGAAACACGCCUCUCAUUUAGACUUGUCCGCAUACUGUGAUGAAAACCAAAAUACGCUACUUCAUAUUGCCUCUAUGUUCGGAAGAGUGGAUGUUGUGGAGAUGCUGCUGGGUCGUGGCGUUGUUGUGGAUUCGAGGAAUAAGUACGGUCACACCCCUCUUUUCUUAGCGGCCUCGAAGGGGUUCGAUGAAAUCGUCGAAAUGUUGUUGAAAAAAGGCGCCUCUAUCAAUCCGCAAGACCGCGAUGGUGUAACUCCCCUACACUUUAAUUCAGAAACCAACCACGAAAGAAUGGUAGAGUUCCUUCUAAACCACGGCGCUGACGUCAACGUGUUGGAUAAUGAAAAUAGGUUACCUAUCGAGCUGGCCGCGGCCAAGGGUCGUAUAACGUCUGUGAAAUUGUUCCUGGAGAAGAAUAAGGGCUUCUUGAAUCGUCGAGGUAAUCAGAAUUUCUCUCUGUUGCACAUCGCCACGCAGUUCGGUCACAAGGAGAUCGUGAGGUUUUUGCUGGACCAAGGCGCCGAUAUGCACUUGACAAACGAUAAGGGCUCCAAGGCCAUUCACAUCGCAGCCAGGGAAGGUUUCACCGAUAUAAUCGAUGUUUUCCUGGAGAAAGGUAUGGAUUUGGACGUUCGCGGUAUCGCCAACCAAUCGAUGUUACACUACGCGGCAUCCACGGGUAGAUUGGAAGUUGUUAAGUAUCUACUGGAGCGAGGUUGCGAUAUCAACACCGUUAACGAAGACGGAAUAUCGGCGUUACAUGUGGCGACGAAUAAGGGACACAAGGAAGUCAUCAAGUAUUUACUCAACAACGGUGCUAUCUACAAUAGUAUAGCGGGGUUUGAUACGGACCACGAAGUCAAAACUAUGUUGUCUUCUGUUGGAAAAUUGUUUUCGCUUAUAAAAGACGGCGACAUCAAGGAAAUUGAGGAGAUUAUCAAGGAGGGAGUACCUUUGAACUGUUCAGAUACCAACAAAGGAUCAGUCUUGCACUACGCAGUAUACAAAGGAAGAUCAGACGUCGUGGAACUACUACUACGAAACAAGGUUUCAACGAAUACUAAGCAUAAGAACGGAUGGACGCCUUUACAUUACGCCGCCAAAUAUUCCAACGAUAGAAUAGUGUUUUUGCUGCUUUGGCACGGCGCGAAAUACAACGCACAAGCCGACAACGGUAAAACACCGCUGGAUUUCGCCGAAAAGACGUCCAUCAGGAAUUUGCUGCUGUUGAUAAACGAUUCCUUCGAGAGCGUACGCAAGAAGAAAAUUUCGAUAAUCGGCCUAUUGAAAAAGAUCAAAGACAAGGAUGUCGUCAAGGCCGUGGUGCGAGCUGAAGAUGAACAUGGAACAACGCUGAUAACGUCCGCCAUCAAAAACGAUUUCCCAAAAUUGGAACAGUUGGAGGAUAUGCUUCAAGGGGACGUCAGAUCUCAAAUGAAAAGCAUCGACGAUUUUCUGUACCAGGAAAGGUUCCAAGAGGGAAAGGACCUAUUGAUGAAGGUUUACGAGAAAAGGAGGGAGAUCUUCGGCGAUCAUAAUCCGGCCACUUUGAGCAUCAAGAGUAAAAUAUCCUUGGUGCUAUACAAAAUGCAAUUGUACGAACAGUCCUUGAAGUUCUUAGGGGAAAUUUGUGAGAAGCUGAAGGAUUGCUUAGGGCCCGACCACAAGCUGAUUUUGAAGGAGAGGAGUUCUAUGGCCCUAGUCCUGUUUCGGCUAGGAAGAUUCGAGGAAUCCCUGAAAUUAUACGAAGAAGUUCAUAAGAUCCAAAAGAAUCUCAUACCGCCCCAUCAUCAAGACUCUCUGAACACCAUAAAGCACAUGGCUUUGACUCUGAUGAGCAUGGGUGAAUUGGAUAGGGCGCUGAAGAUCUACAAGGAUGCGCUCAAGUUGGAGGAGAAGGAAUACGGUCUGCUUCAUCCUGGCACGUUGGUUACCAAGAAUAACAUCGCUUUGAUACUGUCCAAACAAGGGAAGAACGACGAGGCCUUGGCUCUGUUCAAGGAAGUGUACGUAGGAAGGGAGUUAGUUUUGGGAAAAUACCACUCCGAUACCUUGAGAACCAUACACUACCAAAUAUGCGUUUACAAAGACCAAGAAAAAUACGACGAGGCUUUGGAAGCGUUCAAGAAGUUGUUGAAAAGACAGAAAGAUCACUUAGGGGCGCACCAUUUGGACACUCUCAAUACCCAAGCUGAAAUGGCGGACCUUCUGAUAGGGCAGGGUAAGAUUGUUCAUGCUUUCAAAAUCUUCAAAGAGAUCAAGGACCAUAAGAUGGCGGUGCAAGGGCCAGAUCACCCAGAUGUGAUGAUGAUCGCCAAACGUAUGGAGGUGAUAGUGGAGCAGUACAAAAAAAUCGGCCUCAACAGCAACCUGGACAGUUUUUCGGAUAACCUCUUAUGCACCAUGAACAAGGCAGCGAGGAAUGGCGACAUUGACACCAUUGAAAAACUUGUUAGGAGUGGCGUUGACGUCGGCGAAAGGGACAAGGAGGGCAGGAACUGCCUGCAUUACGCGGUAGAUGGUAACAAUAUAGAAGUCAUCAAGGUGUUUUUGAAACACGGCGGAGAUUUGACAGAUAAAACCAACAAGGGUAACACCGCUUUGCACACGGCUUGUAAUAAGGGUUUCAAGGACGUGGCGGAGUUCCUCCUGGAGAGCGUGAAUAAGAACAACAUGGCCUACCUGAUCAACGCCGCAACUAAAACUGGUCUGAAAACUGCGCUACACGUGGCAGCCCAACAGGGUUAUCUGGAUAUUGUCAAACUUCUACUGAAGAAGGGCGCAGUGUAUAAUUGUGCGGAUAAAGACAAUAAAAAACCCUUGGACCUGGCUCAGGUUCAGUCUGUUAGACUCAUCCUCGAACUUACAGGAGAGAUGUUCGCCGCUGUUGAGAAAAAAGACUACGAUAAGAUCUCCAAACUUUAUACCAUCGAUAUCGAUGAUUUUUUGUGUGUUGCUCACGCUAAAAAUUCCCGUAAUGAAACAAUCUUGAAAUUGUUGAUUUCGAAUGGAGAACUGGAAUCUGCCAGGAGUUUGACUGCGAUGAUAAAGAAGACAAAUGCUGCCGACAGGAAUCUUUGAAUCUCCGCGAUGGGCUAGCCCACUCUUUACAUUCACCAUUUUUUCGUCUCGUAUUGAGAUAUUCGUUGAUCUUAUGUUGAGCGACAUAUUCGUAUAGAUAUAUUUGAAAUGUUUAUUGUGGAAAAACUUCUACGGUAUAAAAUAAUACCGUCAUCAACAAGGAAUUUUUUUUUUCUAAUUUUGAAAUAUAAAGAGAGAGAAGAGAGAGAGAGAACUGUUUUUUAUUGACUGAAUAUCAGACAAGAGGUGACACUAUCUAAAUCUCAUUGACUUUUUGAAACUGAUGUUGAAAAAUACUUGCUUCCAUAGUAACGGAGUGGAAAAUUAAAUGUUUAGACCACUGGGCGAUUUAAAAGGAAUCAGCGAGGGACGCUUGUAUAGACGGUUUUGGUACUUUUUAUUUGAAUUGAUAGUCACAUUCUAUUCAAAAUUAGAAAAAAUAUUGUGUGAAGCACGUUGGGAAACACUACAUUUCGUAUUUCGCGUUCUUUUGCGCAAUUCGAUUCGGUUGUUGCAAAAUACGCACAUUACGAAAAAUAAUGUUUUUCCCAACUGGUUGCACAAAUAAUCCAAAGGUAACUUUUCCACAUUCGCAGCUUUAGUAUGUGAUAUAUUGCCAUUUGCCAAAAGUUUCGGUAAAUGUUUAAUUGAAAAGAUGUCCAAAUGUUAUAAGCAUUUAAUUCGCAUAAAAGUAUGUUGAGUUUAUAGGGCUCCCGACUUUCUGUCCAUUGAUUUGUAAAAUAAGUUACCUUCUCACCUGAAAUCACUGACGGAGGAUAAAUUCAAAUGUGUUGUUAAGGAGGACUACUUUCCACGCCUGUUUACUCCAUUGAGGAGUUUUGUUCUUGUGUUUUCGCUUAGACGUCAAAAUCCGAAAUAAUAAUGAUUUCUAGUGGGAUUUACUAUCAUUAUUUUCUGAGCGGUUGAACUCUUGGACAUCAAGCUCAAUAUGAGUAAUAUUAGUAGCCAAUUCUGCAUUUUAUGUGGACAGUCUAGAACCUCCACAAGUAGACUAUUUCGAGUUCCAAAGGAUGAGAGAAAACGUCAAUCUUGGAUUGACUCCUGCGGUAAGUUUUUGAGGAUAGGGACUUUCGUGUGCUCGAAACAUUUUCUGCCCGAGUUCAUGGGAAUAAAACAUUUGAAAUCCGGAGCUCUGCCUCUGCCAAGGACACCAAAAUACAUUGCAUCCAGGCAAAAUACUGAUGGAACACAUGAAAUGAUAGUGGAUAUCAAUGAGGACGAAAUUAUUGUCGACAAUGAGAAAUUUGAAGUCAAGAUUGAAUCGAUCGAUUCUUAUAACUCUUUGGAGGAAACUGAAGUAAAAAGAGAUGAUGAAAAAAUAUACAAUACCAUUCACUAUGAAUUUACCUCCAUUGAAGACGAGUUGCAAGGGUUCAAGUGUCCCCUUUGUGACUAUGUGUCCACAGUGAAAAAUUUACUGAGAACUCAUAUUUCAAGUGUCCAUCAUAAUCUGGAUCAAUUCAAAUUUCAAUCGAUCAAUUUAUCAGGAAACUAUAAGAACGCAAGGCAACAGUACAUGUGUCAGCUGUGCGACUUUACCUCAGGCAAGAAAUUUGCGUUUUAUGCACACCUCAGGUCGGAACAUCCAAAUUUCAAGAAAUUUCAAUGCCCUUUUUGCGAUUACGCUUCAGAUAUCAGGAAAGUAUUGGAGAAUCAUUUGUCCUACGCUCAUUGCAGUUUGAAAAACCAUGAAUGCCCUGAUUGCGACUUUUCAACUGCGCAUAAAAGUUCCCUUAAACUUCAUAUGAACAGGACAAAAUAUAUCUGCGAAUUGUGCAGCUAUAAAACAUGUAAGGAAAGGACCCUAAGGUUACACAUUGAUGAUGUCCACUUUCAUGAAAAGACUAGGAAGUCUCAUUUUCGUGAAUACUCAACAUUUAAGCCUGAAAUUCUUGAAACUCAGACAACUGACAUUAACUCAAGCACAACAAAUAAUAGAUGCUAUGUAUGUCAUUUAUGUGGUUAUGAAGUGACUGAAUUUUCUCUUCUUGAAGCUCACACAAAUGAAAUACACAAAUAACAUAAAGCUGAGUUUAAUUUCGACAGCACUUACAAUGGAAUUUUAGUGAUUAUAACAGACUUAAAAAUCCUGCUUUUUUGGGGUUAUGUUCAAAUUCAAGGAAAUGAGAGAUAUGAACUCUUCAAAUUUCAAAAAGUGAAUUGCUGUGAAUAUUUGUGAGAUGAUGUGAUAAUUCAAUUAUUCAAGAUUUAAUGGUACGAGUUGGAAAACAAAAACUAACAAUAGGAUACAGUAAACAACUUUAUUAAUAUGAUGGCAACUAACAUACAAGUCUAUAAGAAAUAUAUCGUCCUGCAGUUGCUGAA
Coccinella septempunctata (seven-spotted ladybird) is the source of this 9418-nucleotide RNA transcript. RefSeq lists it as uncharacterized. The transcript has 5 exons. Lineage: Eukaryota; Metazoa; Arthropoda; Insecta; Coleoptera; Coccinellidae. The record is from RefSeq and is a predicted model, not a curated record.